Molecule: ribosomal RNA, 1016 nt
Filed under: uncultured bacterium
Lineage: Bacteria
Description: bacterial SSU rRNA
Rfam family: Bacterial small subunit ribosomal RNA
Source: RNAcentral
AGGAAUAUUGGUCAAUGGACGAGAGUCUGAACCAGCCAAGUAGCGUGAAGGAUGACUGCCCUAUGGGUUGUAAACUUCUUUUAUACGGGAAUAAAGUUAGCCACGUGUGGCUUUUUGUAUGUACCGUAUGAAUAAGGAUCGGCUAACUCCGUGCCAGCAGCCGCGGUAAUACGGAGGAUCCGAGCGUUAUCCGGAUUUAUUGGGUUUAAAGGGAGCGUAGGCGGGUUGUUAAGUCAGUUGUGAAAGUUUGCGGCUCAACCGUAAAAUUGCAGUUGAUACUAGCGACCUUGAGUGCAACAGAGGUAGGCGGAAUUCGUGGUGUAGCGGUGAAAUGCUUAGAUAUCACGAAGAACUCCGAUUGCGAAGGCAGCUUACUGGAUUGUAACUGACGCUGAUGCUCGAAAGUGUGGGUAUCAAACAGGAUUAGAUACCCUGGUAGUCCACACAGUAAACGAUGAAUACUCGCUGUUGGCGAUAUACGGUCAGCGGCCAAGCGAAAGCAUUAAGUAUUCCACCUGGGGAGUACGCCGGCAACGGUGAAACUCAAAGGAAUUGACGGGGGCCCGCACAAGCGGAGGAACAUGUGGUUUAAUUCGAUGAUACGCGAGGAACCUUACCCGGGCUUAAAUUGCAACUGACUGAACCGGAAACGGUUCUUUCUUCGGACAGUUGUGAAGGUGCUGCAUGGUUGUCGUCAGCUCGUGCCGUGAGGUGUCGGCUUAAGUGCCAUAACGAGCGCAACCCUUAUCGAUAGUUACUAGCAGGUCAUGCUGAGGACUCUAUUGAGACUGCCGUCGUAAGAUGUGAGGAAGGUGGGGAUGACGUCAAAUCAGCACGGCCCUUACGUCCGGGGCUACACACGUGUUACAAUGGGGGGUACAGAAGGCAGCUACACGGCGACGUGGUGCUAAUCCCGAAAGCCUCUCUCAGUUCGGAUUGGAGUCUGCAACCCGACUCCAUGAAGCUGGAUUCGCUAGUAAUCGCGCAUCAGCCACGGCGCGGUGAAUACGUUCCCG